UUCCGGGUGGAGGCCGUCAUUCACUGCCAAUUCCUGGAAGAAUUACUUUCCCCAGACCCAGAGAUGGAUUUAUUGGCCCUAAACCAGGAGCUGGAGCAGGAGGAAGACCUCACCCUUGCCCAGGUAUGGUGACCGAAUGAUUAUGGGCCCAAACAAAAGGGCUGGGGCUACUUCAAGGCAUUGCACUUCUAAAUAUCAAAGCUAUAGCCAACUAGAGUGAUGAGCUGAUGUUGCAGACAGUGUGGGAUGCAUCAUUGGAUGCAAUGAUGAAAUUGAGGCUUGUCUUGAUACAAAAAGAAAUUUUUUGAAUAUACACUGCUUCUACAUACAGAAUACAUAACACUGACCCAGGCCUACAGAUGAAAUAAACCGAGCCUGAGAGAAGUCAAAUAAAUUGGCUAAAGAUAUACUACCAGUUAGAAAAUAAAGCAGAUAUCCAAUACCCAGUCUAUCCAUAGUCAACAUUUAGGGAAAUUGCUGUAUUCUCAUUUGUCAGAUGUUGAAAAAGGUAUUUCCUUUGAUAUGAAACACCCAGAGAGACAUGGAAAUAAAGUAAGUGGAUAUGUGUGAAAGUUAUUUUUUUAAAAAAUCUAAAUUGCUUGGCAUGGAAACCAUAGGUAGUGUAUCUUGACCACAUCCAAAGCAGCUUAUCAUUCAAAGGAGAUAUCCAAUAAGUACUUGUGUAUGAAUUUGCCUUUGACUGUGAAUUAAACAGAAGUUCAAUGAGAAGCAAACAAGUGGGUUAAAGUAGU
This is a long non-coding RNA of Symphalangus syndactylus (siamang), 752 nucleotides long. RefSeq lists it as uncharacterized. The record is from RefSeq and is a predicted model, not a curated record. NCBI's taxonomy places the organism in Eukaryota, Metazoa, Chordata, Mammalia, Primates, Hylobatidae.